Molecule: long non-coding RNA, 3853 nt
Organism: Epinephelus moara (kelp grouper)
Lineage: Eukaryota; Metazoa; Chordata; Actinopteri; Perciformes; Serranidae
Exons: 2
Source: RefSeq, a predicted model, not a curated record
UCAUGUUUUCUUCCCUCAAAUCCACAAAAAAUGAAAUGUCAGAUAUGUUUUCAGAAUGACCUGAAACCUCUCCAUUAAGUGAUCAUGUCGCCAUGUUGUCCUGCACUUUAAUAAAAUGUUGGAUGCGGGAUUUUGUGGCACAGAACGUUGGUAACACACACACAUAUAAUUUUAUAUUAAACAACAAAAUGUGGUUUGAACUGUGUGUAGCGCUUGGAUGUUAAGUUUUAUCCGAAUUCGCGGUGCGUAAAAGCGCAUUUUCAGCGCAAAAUACGCGUUUUGGCUCCGGGUAUUUUCACCCACUUGUCCCGACCCCAGCGUCCUCCUGUGUUCCCGGUCAGGGCUGCCUCUUUACGGCACCACAAGGCUCAGCGUUUCCUAUUACGCCGUCAGCAGACCCCUUUCACUGCAGCCUGUGUGUGAUCCGCGGCCACGCCGCCCAGACCAGGAACAAAGGAAAUCGGUACAAAAUACGCCACCGAGAAAAUGCUACAAAAUGAUUUCCAGAGGAAAAUCCGACGUGAAACUCACCAGACAUGAUGACUUUGAUGAAGAGAGGCUCCCUGGAGAAGACCUGUGGGACUCCACAACGUCCUUUUCUGCCUCAGCAAAAUGGCCAAGAACGAAAUUUGUGCAAAAGUCUCCAAAAAUCUCAACACAAAUGUCCUACAGCAGAGCUAGAGCAUACAACAAUAUUGUAAUAUAGCUGGGGACAUAUUAGUUUGAGAUUUUCUCCCUCCAUGCCUACUAUUUAAAACCCCUAGAACUCAAUGAUUUGACAAUGAUUUGAUUGCGCGUUACUUUCAAUUUGAAUAUUCAGAGGCAACCGAGUUAUAUCGAUUUUUCAACAAAAAUCACUACGCGUAGACAUUGUAUAAGCUCCACUUUAAUGUAAUAUAAUAGUAUUUUACACUUUGACCAAAAAGAAAGCAUACUUUUAUUAAUUUUAUCCUCCUUUUGCAAUAUCAGAGCAUCACACCCCCUCAUUAAGCACUACAGCACUAGGUGCUUCUUGUGCGCAACUUUAACACCAAACUUCACCUUAUAUCGGCGACCACACAUUUACUGCGGCCUCUCUACGUGCCAACAGUAUAUUCAAACAUAAAUUUAUGCUUUAUUUCUGAGAAAAACGCAUAAAAGUGGCAAAGAAGUGGGCGUGGCAAAGGGCAGCAGCCAUCUUUGGCAUCGCAGGCCUUAAGCUGCUCCAUAAGUGCUGUGAGUGCACUCACCUGCUGAAGGCUGCAGGGACAAGACUCGGCACCCCGAAACUUUUACUAUAUUAUCAUUUAUACACUUUGAAUUAUUAAGAAGAAAAAAUAAUUGUGGAAUACAGGAAUGCUCCCAGUAGAACCCCACAGCUUGACAGCUUUUUUGAAUAAAUAUUUAAAUCUAAUACACCUUCUUACCUCAGCACUAAAUCACCUUUAACCAAAUUCACCACACUUGAUUUAAACUAAAACAAAUUUAUUUUUAAAUCAUUUUUAAUGAGGCUGCACUCAACACUUUGGUGGCUCCAUCAGUGCAUCAGACACCAACAAUACAUUCACACCAGCCUGUGCAAAAUGCUACACUAAUUUAAAAUAUAUAUAUUACUUUAGAGUAUUUUGCUCAUGAAAAGUCACUAAAUUAUCAGUGAUAACGACAAAAUCAAACACAGCUGUAAACACCUGGAGCUGUCAGGUCUCUCAUAGUGCGCAAAUCAUAUGCAGAAUGUCUUUAUCUUAUUUAUCGCUGGGUGUUAACUGGGAUGUAAGUAAAGUUAAGAUGGGGUUUAUAUACUUAAUAUCUAAGAUUGUUGUUUAUUUAUCUAUAUUAAUGGUUGUAAAUAAGUUUGGGAUAGUUGAUGACAAUUUAAUUUUUAAAAGACAGAUGAAUAGUGAGAAGAGGGAAGGAUUAUAUUACAUCAGUGUGCACUUCUUCCUGCUCCUUUUUGAGCAUGUUUGUUGAUUUUUAAUUUAUUUAUUGCUCGAAAUUAAGUCAUUAAUUCAUUUAUUCAUUAAACCCCAGUAUUAUUAAUAAUGUUAUUAUUAGGCUAUUAUUAUAAUUUUAUUUUGUAUCUAUUUAGUUUUUUGUAGUUAUCAUGCCUGUUAUAAUUACCCUUUUAUAACUACAGCUAGAUGAAAGCCUAACACUGAUAUAAGUUACAGCAGCACUCAGUGGCAGCAGCUGUGUCUCCACUCUGUAAAGACUAUAUAUAAUAUAUAUAAUAUUUUGACCCAUGUCACAUGUUUGUGUUUCAUAUUCUGACACUCUCUGUUGAUCCGAAGCACAUCUCUUAAGGUUUCCUCUUCUCAUCCUGACACACAUGAGCUCCUUCAUCCUCUGCUCUCUGCUCCGUCUCAUUGCAGUCAUGGUGUUCCUCCCUCUUGUUGCAGAGCAGCGGCUCCUCUGCUCCUCCUGCAGCUGCGGUGUUGGCGCGCCACCUGCUGGUGUCAGAGCACAACGUCUCCCCGGUCUGUAACCCUGUGUGUAUCAUACAUUUACUUUUACAGGUCUAACAGCAUGAACUGGCUAGUAUUAAAGGUUUUUUAUGUUCACAACAAAUGUGAUUCCUGAUGAAAAUUAAAAUCCAUGUCAGAUACAGUUUUGAAAAUGGUCUGCUCUAGUAGAGACACACACAGUAAACUUAUUUAUAUACACUUAAAUUCAACCACUAUUCCCCCUAAUUCUGAAAAAACACUGGAAUGAGUUUCCAAAUUAAAAUAAAGGUGUUUCAUAUUAAUAGAAGCUCAUUAAAAAUGACUUCCACAUACAUCGAACAUUAAAAAGACUUUAGUGUUUCUGUUGAGACAAGAAAUCUGAACUCACUGCCUGACUGGAAAAGCCUGCAGAUUAAAGACAUUACGUCUUAAGGCCUUUUGGAUAAGACUUUAUUUUAACCCCCAUAUUUAUCAUCUAUAAACAGUUUAUACAAAUAAUUAUUAAAUGGUUUAUAACACACUGUGCUGUAGUUGCAUGCAGAUAUAAGGAUAUUUGUGAGUGUAAUUUAGUUUUUGUUUUAUUCUGUUUUAUUAUUUUUAAAUAAUCAUGUCGUCACCAGUUUUGAAUGAUUUUCUUAACAGUUUUAACACCUGUGAAUGUGAACACAGUUUAUAUAUUUGUUUCAAGACACUAUUAAAGUGUUUCUAUCUAUCUAUCUAUCUAUCUAUCUAUCUAUCUAUCUAUCUAUCUAUCUAUCUAUCUAUCUAUUAUGUGAUUCAUAAAAACUUUAUACUGACAGUAUAUCACAUCAGAAUUUAUUGUAAUUUCAUUUAUUUAUUUUUUUUCUUUGUUUUGAUGUUGUUCUCUGUAAAGUGUCUUUCAAUAUCCAGAAAAUCCAAUUUAUUAUUAUUAUUUUAUUUAUUUAUUUAUUAUUAUUAUUAUUAUUAUUAUUAGUCAUAGUAGGUAGUAGUAUUGUCUUUGUCGAAAACUAUAUCUCCUUCAUAAAGCUUUGGUGUGUAGACAGACAGCUGACAACAUGUAAGUUUUCUAACAUUUUAUCAUAAAUAAAUAAUCAUGUCGUCACCAGUUUUAAAUGAUUUUCUAAACAGUGUUAACAUAUCUGUGAAUGUAUAAACAGUUCAGACAUUUGUUAUAAGACACUGUUGGGUGUUUUUACAUAGUAAUUAUUGAAUCAUUUGUAUUUCAUAAAAACUUUAUACCAACAGCGUGUCACAUUUGAAUUUUUCCACUUGAUGCUUCACAAAUAUUGAUUUUAAUGUUAUUGUAUUAGUGCGUGAGUAUAUGUGCAUUAACCUCUUAAACGAUUUCUGACACAAGUCGCUGUAACCACACAUAUGGACCCUGAAAUGUGUGAAAAUGUGUGUUUGUAGCAUUUGAUGAGACGAAACAUUAAAGGAGCCUUUAUGUCUCA